AAUGAAGGGGAUGAUGUCUUUUUAUGUGAAUACGAAUAUGAUAUUCACUGGUACAGUUUCAAGCGUAUUGCAGAAAUU
This is a small nucleolar RNA of Argentina anserina (silverweed cinquefoil), 78 nucleotides long. RefSeq annotates it as small nucleolar RNA snoR28. The transcript has a single exon. Lineage: Eukaryota; Viridiplantae; Streptophyta; Magnoliopsida; Rosales; Rosaceae. The record is from RefSeq and is a predicted model, not a curated record.